AUUUUAUCUUUAUUUUAAUUUGUAAUUUAUAUAUGUGAGCUGGUGAUCCUAGGUCUAUUUUUUAUCUAUUCUUAUCUGUUGUUUAUUUGUAAACUAUCUAGGCUAGUGCUGAGUGCGUGCAUGGUUCCCGCCAGCUCUUUAAUGUUAGUUUAGGUGGGUCAUGACCUGGCUCUAUAAAUAGAAAGGGUGCGGUCAGUUUUUUUUUCCGGUGUUGACCGUUGGUCAGUGUGACCGUGUAGAAGUAAUAGUUAUUUAGUUGUGCUUAUAUCCAGCUUGGAUUGCCUGCUAUCCUUACUGUCAUUAGUCUGCCAUCGCCUCCUUGUACCUUUUUUUGUUAUAUUUUAAGCUUAGGUCUAGUGGGUGUUUAGAGUUGUUUGGUAACUGAUAGAUCUAGGUAGUAGUAGGAUAUUGUAGAUGUAAUGUUGUGUAGUCCGUGUCUUUAGUAAUUUUCUAGAUUUUAUUAUAGCGUACGGCUAGGUACAAAUUAGGGAAAUCAGUAGUCCAGUUUAGUUUUAGGUAAUUAGCGUGACGUCAUGCUCUCCGAUAUGUUCGCGCUGACCAGUUAUAGCUAGCUCCGGAACCACGUUGAGACCUCUUUUGUCUUGACCAGUGGUCAGUGCUGACAGUAGUGCCUGUGUAAAGUUAAUUGUGUGUAGUGUAAUUUCAGCUGGGACCGCCUGUAAGUUGGAAAAUGUUUUUAUUUUUACUUCUUUAGUUUAUAUUUGUAUUUGUUAUUCCCACAUCUACUGUUAUAGUCUAGAUUUAGACUGAUUAGUAGUGAUUAGUAGAGUGACAUCACUGGCUAGUUAAUUAGCCAUGAUUACCUCUGAUGGAACCGGAUGUUCCGUAAACUUGAGUAGCGUCACCCCCUUGCGUCAUCCUUAAUGAUCCCCUUAUGGUUUGUCCAUGUGUAAAUAUUUUAUGUCCCCUAUGUAUUUUUAUUAAUAUCUUAUUGCUAGGAUAACCACUCCAUUAAGUUGGCAUGUUGCCGAUUUUAAUUUUUAAUGUAGAAGAUGGCUGCGUCCUACUCAACGCUCCAUAAUGGCGGCUUUGUUAAGCCAAAUCUAGAUUUGUUAUUGUUGUCUAGCCCAACUGGUGUUGUGGCAUAGACAUUAACUUUUACUCCGGCUAUAAUUCCUGUCAUUACGUCUACUGCCUAACUGUGCGGUAGUACUGUCAUUAUUUCCACUGCCUAGCUGCCUUUAUUAGUAUAUUAUUGCCACAGUUAAGCUGUCUGCUGUACUGUUGUGUUUAGUGUUGGUAUUUUUAGGUGUAAUCUAGUAAAGAUAGUUAGACAUUUGGGUUUCUUAUUAGUGUUGGUAGUGGUAUAGUCAGGUUGAUUAGUUGCUUAUUUCUAAGUUUAUUUAGUUGUUUCUGUAAAGUUUAUCUUUUUUUGUAUUCAUCUAUAUUUUUAUUGCUUUGUAAGUUUGCUGUGAAUAAAGUGUAUUUAUAUUUUGUUUUAUAAA
Molecule: long non-coding RNA, 1466 nt
Organism: Biomphalaria glabrata
Lineage: Eukaryota; Metazoa; Mollusca; Gastropoda; Planorbidae
Exons: 2
Source: RefSeq, a predicted model, not a curated record